UACGUAGGGUGCAAGCGUUAAUCGGAAUUACUGGGCGUAAAGCGUGCGCAGGCGGUUGUGCAAGGCAGGUGUGAAAUCCCCGGGCUUAACCUGGGAACUGCACUUGUGACUGCACGGCUGGAGUACGGCAGAGGGGGAUGGAAUUCCGCGUGUAGCAGUGAAAUGCGUAGAUAUGCGGAGGAACACCAAUGGCGAAAGCAGGUGACUGGACUCGUAUUGACACUCAUCCACGAAAGCUAGGGGAGCAAACAGG
This 253-nucleotide ribosomal RNA is filed under the name uncultured bacterium. Its description in RNAcentral is "partial 16S ribosomal RNA". It matches the Rfam family "Bacterial small subunit ribosomal RNA", at positions 524 to 776 of the family's 1533-position model. The record is from RNAcentral.